GGCGGCGUAGCUCAGUUGGCUAGAGCGAGGGUCUCAUAAUCCCUAGGUCCCCGGUUCGAUUCCGGGCGCCGCCA
Molecule: transfer RNA, 74 nt
Filed under: Deltaproteobacteria bacterium
Lineage: Bacteria; Pseudomonadati; Myxococcota; Myxococcia
Also listed under: 3 other names
Description: tRNA-Met
Rfam family: tRNA
About the family: Transfer RNA (tRNA) molecules are approximately 80 nucleotides in length. Their secondary structure includes four short double-helical elements and three loops (D, anti-codon, and T loops).
Source: RNAcentral